This is a non-coding RNA of Vibrio genomosp. F10, 114 nucleotides long. NCBI's taxonomy places the organism in Bacteria, Pseudomonadati, Pseudomonadota, Gammaproteobacteria, Vibrionales, Vibrionaceae. The record is from Rfam.
ACACUAGUAAUGACCACCAUUAUUAUUACCGACAUGACCAAUGUUGGGGCAGGCUGCUAACCGAAAAGAAAUUCAAAAAAGGCCUGUAUCCAACGAGAUACAGGCCUUUUUUUA